ACUGUCUAAAGUUGAGAUGGGAUGUCCCAGAUGAUAGGGCUCCUGGGAUUUCAGACCCAAGACCAGCAGGACUCCAGUCACCUCUACCCCAGCUCUCCAGGACACAGCACUCCCAACUCUGAGUGACGUCCCACCUCUGGUCCUUGCAGCACAACCAACGUGGGAAUCACACCCUCCAGACCUCCCACAGCUCCACCCCAGACUGGGCGCUGGCCCUGCCUCCAUUUCAGCUGUGACAACCUCAGAGCCGUGUUGGCCCAAGCAUGACAAGGACGUAUGAAAACUUCCAGUACUUGGAGAAUGAGGUGAAAGUCCAGGGGUUUAAAAAUGGUAAGAGGAAAGGGGAAACUCUCCUAAAAUGCCCUCUUUAUAUGUUUAGAAGGAUUUCUCCUGUCAUUUCUGUACCUCCACCACGUGCACUGGUGGGUCCUAACUCUGAGGAGGUCAGGCCCCAGCCUCUGACGGGCCUAGUGUGAAGAGGAUGCAAGGUCUCUAGAAAGACUGGGACAGGGAGGAUCACAGUGGACCCAGCUUCUGAUGCUCUGUGGGGUGGGGACGAGAGCUGCGCAUUGGUGGAGGGAAAGAUAAGUAG
This 592-nucleotide small RNA is filed under the name Pan troglodytes (chimpanzee). Its description in RNAcentral is "retained intron". The record is from RNAcentral. Lineage: Eukaryota; Metazoa; Chordata; Mammalia; Primates; Hominidae.